GACGAACGCUUGCGGCGUGCUUAACACAUGCAAGUCGAACGGAAAGGCCCUGCUUUUGUGGGGUGCUCGAGUGGCGAACGGGUGAGUAACACGUGAGUAACCUGCCCUUGACUUUGGGAUAACUUCAGGAAACUGGGGCUAAUACCGGAUAGGAGCUCCUGCUGCAUGGUGGGGGUUGGAAAGUUUCGGCGGUUGGGGAUGGACUCGCGGCUUAUCAGCUUGUUGGUGGGGUAGUGGCUUACCAAGGCUUUGACGGGUAGCCGGCCUGAGAGGGUGACCGGCCACAUUGGGACUGAGAUACGGCCCAGACUCCUACGGGAGGCAGCAGUGGGGAAUAUUGCACAAUGGGCGGAAGCCUGAUGCAGCAACGCCGCGUGCGGGAUGACGGCCUUCGGGUUGUAAACCGCUUUCGCCUGUGACGAAGCGUGAGUGACGGUAAUGGGUAAAGAAGCACCGGCUAACUACGUGCCAGCAGCCGCGGUGAUACGUAGGGUGCGAGCGUUGUCCGGAUUUAUUGGGCGUAAAGGGCUCGUAGGUGGUUGAUCGCGUCGGAAGUGCAAUCUUGGGGCUUAACCCUGAGCGUGCUUUCGAUACGGGUUGACUUGAGGAAGGUAGGGGAGAAUGGAAUUCCUGGUGGAGCGGUGGAAUGCGCAGAUAUCAGGAGGAACACCAGUGGCGAAGGCGGUUCUCUGGGCCUUUCCUGACGCUGAGGAGCGAAAGCGUGGGGAGCGAACAGGCUUAGAUACCCUGGUAGUCCACGCUGUAAACGGUGGGUACUAGGUGUGGGGUCCAUUCCACGGGUUCCGUGCCGUAGCUAACGCUUUAAGUACCCCGCCUGGGGAGUACGGCCGCAAGGCUAAAACUCAAAGGAAUUGACGGGGCCCCGCACAAGCGGCGGAGCAUGCGGAUUAAUUCGAUGCAACGCGUAGAACCUUACCUGGGUUUGACAUGGAUCGGGAGUGCUCAGAGAUGGGUGUGCCUCUUUUGGGGUCGGUUCACAGGUGGUGCAUGCCUGUCGUCAGCUCGUGUCGUGAGAUGUUGGGUUAAGUCCCGCAACGAGCGCAACCCUUGUUCACUGUUGCCAGCACGUUAUGGUGGGGACUCAGUGGAGACCGCCGGGGUCAACUCGGAGGAAGGUGGGGAUGACGUCAAGUCAUCAUGCCCCUUAUGUCCAGGGCUUCACGCAUGCUACAAUGGCUGGUACAGAGAGUGGCGAGCCUGUGAGGGUGAGCGAAUCUCGGAAAGCCGGUCUCAGUUCGGAUUGGGGUCUGCAACUCGACCUCAUGAAGUCGGAGUCGCUAGUAAUCGCAGAUCAGCAACGCUGCGGUGAAUACGUUCCCGGG
RNAcentral lists this ribosomal RNA (1343 nucleotides) under uncultured bacterium. RNAcentral's name for it is "16S ribosomal RNA". It matches the Rfam family "Bacterial small subunit ribosomal RNA", at positions 28 to 1378 of the family's 1533-position model. The record is from RNAcentral.